GAUGAACGCUGGCGGCGUGCCUAAUACAUGCAAGUCGAGCGAACAGACGAGGAGCUUGCUCCUCUGACGUUAGCGGCGGACGGGUGAGUAACACGUGGAUAACCUACCUAUAAGACUGGGAUAACUUCGGGAAACCGGAGCUAAUACCGGAUAAUAUAUUGAACCGCAUGGUUCAAUAGUGAAAGACGGUUUUGCUGUCACUUAUAGAUGGAUCCGCGCCGCAUUAGCUAGUUGGUAAGGUAACGGCUUACCAAGGCAACGAUGCGUAGCCGACCUGAGAGGGUGAUCGGCCACACUGGAACUGAGACACGGACCAGACUCCUACGGGAGGCAGCAGUAGGGAAUCUUCCGCAAUGGGCGAAAGCCUGACGGAGCAACGCCGCGUGAGUGAUGAAGAUCUUCGGAUCGUAAAACUCUGUUAUUAGGGAAGAACAAAUGUGUAAGUAACUAUGCACGUCUUGACGGUACCUAAUCAGAAAGCCACGGCUAACUACGUG
This 497-nucleotide ribosomal RNA is filed under the name uncultured bacterium. RNAcentral's name for it is "partial 16S ribosomal RNA". It matches the Rfam family "Bacterial small subunit ribosomal RNA", at positions 28 to 507 of the family's 1533-position model. The record is from RNAcentral.